UACAGAGGGUGCAAGCGUUGUUCGGAAUUAUUGGGCGUAAAGGGCGCGUAGGCGGCGCGACAAGUCACUUGUGAAAUCUCCGGGCUUAACUCGGAACGGUCAAGUGAAACUGUCAUGCUAGAGUGCAGAAGGGGCAAUCGGAAUUCUUGGUGUAGCGGUGAAAUGCGUAGAUAUCAAGAGGAACACCUGAGGUGAAGACGGGUUGCUGGGCUGACACUGACGCUGAGGCGCGAAAGCCAGGGGAGCAAACGGG
Molecule: ribosomal RNA, 253 nt
Filed under: uncultured bacterium
Lineage: Bacteria
Description: partial 16S ribosomal RNA
Rfam family: Bacterial small subunit ribosomal RNA
Source: RNAcentral